This 274-nucleotide ribosomal RNA is filed under the name uncultured bacterium. RNAcentral describes it as "partial 16S ribosomal RNA". It matches the Rfam family "Bacterial small subunit ribosomal RNA", at positions 523 to 796 of the family's 1533-position model. The record is from RNAcentral.
AUACAGAGGGUGCAAGCGUUAAUCGGAAUUACUGGGCGUAAAGCGCGCGUAGGCGGUUACGUAAGUCGGGUGUGAAAGCCCCGGGCUCAACCUGGGAAUUGCAUUCGAAACUGCGUAGCUAGAGUCUGAUAGAGGGAAGUGGAAUUUCCGGUGUAGCGGUGAAAUGCGUAGAUAUCGGAAGGAACAUCAGUGGCGAAGGCGACUUCCUGGAUCAAGACUGACGCUCAGGUGCGAAAGCGUGGGGAGCAAACAGGAUUAGAAACCCGGGUAGUCC